GUCUACGGCCAUUCCACCCUGAACACGCCCGAUCUCGCCUGAUCUUGGAAGCUACGCAGGCAGGUCCAGGCCUGGUUAGUACUUGGAUGGCAGAAC
RNAcentral lists this ribosomal RNA (96 nucleotides) under Erinaceus europaeus (western European hedgehog). Lineage: Eukaryota; Metazoa; Chordata; Mammalia; Eulipotyphla; Erinaceidae. The record is from RNAcentral.